UACAGAGGGUGCUAGCGUUGUUCGGAAUUAUUGGGCGUAAAGCGCGUGUAGGCGGCCAGGCAAGUUGGGUGUGAAAGCCCUCGGCUUAACCGAGGAAGUGCGCCCAAAACUACUUGGCUUGAGUACCGGAGAGGAUGGUGGAAUUCCCGGUGUAGAGGUGAAAUUCGUAGAUAUCGGGAGGAACACCAGUGGCGAAGGCGACCAUCUGGACGGAUACUGACGCUGAGACGCGAAAGCGUGGGGAGCAAACAGG
Molecule: unclassified non-coding RNA, 253 nt
Filed under: uncultured Archangiaceae bacterium
Lineage: Bacteria; Pseudomonadati; Myxococcota; Myxococcia; Myxococcales; Archangiaceae
Description: contains 16S-23S intergenic spacer region
Rfam family: Bacterial small subunit ribosomal RNA
Source: RNAcentral